UACAGAGGUCCCGAGCGUUGUUCGGAAUCACUGGGCGUAAAGGGUGCGUAGGCGGGUCUUUAAGUCAGGGGUGAAAUCCUGGAGCUCAACUCCAGAACUGCCUUUGAUACUGAAGAUCUUGAGUUCGGGAGAGGUGAGUGGAACUGCGAGUGUAGAGGUGAAAUUCGUAGAUAUUCGCAAGAACACCAGUGGCGAAGGCGGCUCACUGGCCCGAUACUGACGCUGAGGCACGAAAGCGUGGGGAGCAAACAGG
Molecule: ribosomal RNA, 253 nt
Filed under: uncultured bacterium
Lineage: Bacteria
Description: partial 16S ribosomal RNA
Rfam family: Bacterial small subunit ribosomal RNA
Source: RNAcentral